CACACCGUGGCGCAAUGGAAGCGCACCAGGGUGGUACCCUGGGGGUACAGGUUCAAUUCCUGUCGGUGUGU
Tribonema minus is the source of this 71-nucleotide non-coding RNA. The record is from the annotation of a GenBank genome assembly. NCBI's taxonomy places the organism in Eukaryota, Xanthophyceae, Tribonematales, Tribonemataceae.